GACCGCUUAGCUCAGUUGGUCAGAGCGUUCGGCUUACAUCCGAAAGGUCGGGGGUUCGAACCCCUCAGCGGUCACAA
Molecule: transfer RNA, 77 nt
Filed under: Candidatus Woesebacteria bacterium RIFCSPHIGHO2_01_FULL_41_10
Lineage: Bacteria; Candidatus Woeseibacteriota
Description: tRNA-Val
Rfam family: tRNA
About the family: Transfer RNA (tRNA) molecules are approximately 80 nucleotides in length. Their secondary structure includes four short double-helical elements and three loops (D, anti-codon, and T loops). Further hydrogen bonds mediate the characteristic L-shaped molecular structure. tRNAs have two regions of fundamental functional importance: the anti-codon, which is responsible for specific mRNA codon recognition, and the 3' end, to which the tRNAs corresponding amino acid is attached (by aminoacyl-tRNA synthetases). tRNAs cope with the degeneracy of the genetic code in two manners: having more than one tRNA (with a specific anti-codon) for a particular amino acid; and 'wobble' base-pairing, i.e. permitting non-standard base-pairing at the 3rd anti-codon position.
Source: RNAcentral